Molecule: non-coding RNA, 225 nt
Filed under: Porphyromonas macacae
Lineage: Bacteria; Pseudomonadati; Bacteroidota; Bacteroidia; Bacteroidales; Porphyromonadaceae
Source: RNAcentral
UCUUUGCAGACGAUUUCGAGUAAGAGCCUUUUGGUUCUGUAAGGGAAUCCGGUGAAAAUCCGGAACAGUACCCGCUACUGUAAUUCUUUCGGCAAACGGACACAAUGCCUUUGUUUGCCACAUAAUCUCCCAAGGUUAUGCCACUGAGAUUUUAGAUUUCUUGGGAAGGCCGGAGAUUAUAUUUGAAAGAAAAGUCAGGAGACCUGCUCGUUAUUUUGCUGCUAU